UACGGGGGGGGCAAGCGUUGUUCGGAAUUACUGGGCGUAAAGGGCUCGUAGGCGGCCAACUAAGUCAGACGUGAAAUCCCUCGGCUUAACCCGGGAACUGCGUCCGAUACUGGGAGGCUUGAAUCCGGGAGAGGGAUGUGGAAUUCCAGGUGUAGCGGUGAAAUGCGUAGAUAUCUGGAGGAACACCGGUGGCGAAGGCGGCAUCCUGGACCGGCAUUGACGCUGAGGCGCGAAAGCCAGGGGAGCAAACGGG
RNAcentral lists this ribosomal RNA (253 nucleotides) under uncultured bacterium. Its description in RNAcentral is "partial 16S ribosomal RNA". It matches the Rfam family "Bacterial small subunit ribosomal RNA", at positions 524 to 776 of the family's 1533-position model. The record is from RNAcentral.